Molecule: ribosomal RNA, 1045 nt
Filed under: uncultured archaeon
Lineage: Archaea
Description: bacterial SSU rRNA
Rfam family: Archaeal small subunit ribosomal RNA
Source: RNAcentral
UGUUUGAUCCCGGCGGAGGCCAUUGCUAUCGGUGUCCGAUUUAGCCAUGCGAGUUGUACGUCUAACGUAGCAAACCGCUCAGUAACACGUGGCCAAACUACCCUACGGAUCGGGAUAACCUCGGGAAACUGAGGCUAAUCCCGAAUAGCGCUCCCGAGCUGGAAUGCUGGGAGCGCCAAACGCUCCGGCGCCGUAGGAUGUGGCUGCGGCCGAUUAGGUAGAUGGUGGGGUAACGGCCCACCAUGCCGAUAAUCGGUACGGGUUGUGAGAGCAAGAGCCCGGAGACGGACUCUGAGACAAGAGUCCGGGCCCUACGGGGCGCAGCAGGCGCGAAACCUUUACACUGCACGCAAGUGCGAUAGGGGGACACCGAGUGCGAGGGCAUAGAGCCCUCGCUUUUCUGUACCGUAAGGCGGUACAGGAACAAGGGCUGGGCAAGACCGGUGCCAGCCGCCGCGGUAACACCGGCAGCCCAAGUGAUGGCCGAUCUUAUUGGGCCUAAAGCGUCCGUAGCUUGCCGAGUAAGUUCGUCGGGAAAUCUACUGGCUUAACCAGUAGGCGUCCGGCGAAAACUGCUCGGCUUGGGACCGGGAGACCAGAGGGGUACGUCCGGGGUAGGAGUGAAAUCCUGUAAUCCUGGACGGACCACCGGUGGCGAAAGCGCCUCUGGAGAACGGAUCCGACAGUGAGGGACGAAAGCUAGGGUCUCGAACCGGAUUAGAUACCCGGGUAGUCCUAGCUGUAAACGAUGCUCGCUAGGUGUGGCGCAGGCUACGAGCCUGCGCUGUGCCGUAGGGAAGCCGUGAAGCGAGCCGCCUGGGAAGUACGUCUGCAAGGAUGAAACUUAAAGGAAUUGGCGGGGGAGCACUACAACCGGAGGAGCCUGCGGUUUAAUUGGACUCAACGCCGGACAUCUCACCAGCUCCGACAGCAGUGAUGACGAUCAGGUUGAUGACCUUAUUCGACGCUGCUGAGAGGAGGUGCAUGGCCGCCGUCAGCUCGUACCGUGAGGCGUCCUGUUAAGUCAGGCAACGAGCGAGACCCA